RNAcentral lists this long non-coding RNA (473 nucleotides) under Bemisia tabaci. RNAcentral describes it as "lncRNA ENSSWEETPG010654". The record is from RNAcentral. Lineage: Eukaryota; Metazoa; Arthropoda; Insecta; Hemiptera; Aleyrodidae.
CUGGCUGCUAUGUCGAGCAGUCUGCCCAGGGCCAGAUGUUAACAAGUGACAAAUCCCUCCUAGAGAAAGACAACACACCUUUCCAUCCUCGUCACUGGACAGCGGCUCCCGCCCGGCGCUUGUGGACGUUUUUGGUGCGUCAAGAAGCAGUUCAAGAUAUGUUCAUCCGCUACAUAUUCGGGAAACGACAAUGACCACUGGCUCUAUCAUGGGUGACAAUUCUGAUGACAAGACUCGAAUCCGGAACUACUACUAACAAUCCUCCUGAGCUCGUUCGAUUAUUCACAAAGAGCAGGACUCAAUAUCAGCGUUCUGUCUCAAUCAGGGAACCGGAAUCACUUCCUGCUAGUAGCUUCUUAGUUAUACAAACUGCCCAGGACAAAAUUUCCCAAGUUUCACCAAACAGCAUUCACUCCAACUCAAGUCCGCAAACAGGUCUUGGAGGUCAAACAGGAAGAGGGGCUCAGUGGUGA